Molecule: long non-coding RNA, 907 nt
Filed under: Olea europaea subsp. europaea
Lineage: Eukaryota; Viridiplantae; Streptophyta; Magnoliopsida; Lamiales; Oleaceae
Source: RNAcentral
CUCAGCCACUCAAGAAUGCCAUUACUUUCCUUUGAGCUCGCGAAGUUCCUGCUUGUGCAACGUUACAUGGUCAACUGCUCAGAUCUCCCUCUGCUUCUUUAUGACUACAGUGACUACACGUCUACCCCUAAAGACUUAGCCCUGACCCUAUUUUCCAAAACAGAUGCAUAAACUUAAAAUUGCUGCAGCAGCAUCCUUUACUGCCAAUGAAUGCCCUUCUUGCACGAGGAUGAUCAGUGACUUGACAGAGCCUGAUUUCAUAAUAACAUGUUUAUUUGAGUUGAUAAUACAAACAUGGUCGCAGAUGCAUUGCUCGUCAUCUUAAGGCUUUCGCUUCUCAAGGACUCGAUAGGAAAAAGAAUGGCCAGUGUAGUUUCCUGUAAUUUCGGUUAAAGAAUUCUGACUUGAAAAGGAGAAUUUCCAAGAUCUUUAUGUUUAAUCACCUUGAUAUUCGAUGUCCCAAAAUCUUCACUGUUUGCACUCUUAUGGUCUCAAUCUCGAUCACAAUUGAAAGAGAUCAUUAUUCAUGAUCAAAGUGUCAAGAUCUGUGAGUUUUCUUGAAAAAAUAUGAUUCCAGUUCCUCUUCAAUUUUGAUGUAUUUUCCAACACGAAAAGCCAACAUUUUUCUCUCAUGUUUUGUGCAAGACAGGUUAAUGGAAGUUGGGGGCGAAUCCAAAAUUUUAGCUGAACUAGGGUGAUCGUUGACUGUUGACCAUCGAUAGUCAACGACUAUAAUGGCGAUGUUAUUAAUACUAAAUUAAAUAAUGUUAAAAAUUCUUCUAUCUUUAUAUAAAGGCAUUAAAACGUAAAAAUUAUACAUUUAUAUGAAAAUAUAAUUUAAUACAAUUAAAAAUAAAAAAUAUAAAUUAUAUAAUACAACAUCACUCUGUGAUUUGCAUUCUCCGGG